This 35942-nucleotide long non-coding RNA is filed under the name Gossypium raimondii (Peruvian cotton). Its description in RNAcentral is "long non-coding RNA (GRAI_LNC003736)". Lineage: Eukaryota; Viridiplantae; Streptophyta; Magnoliopsida; Malvales; Malvaceae. The record is from RNAcentral.
UGUUCUUGACCGCAUUUCUCUUUUGGCUUGGGUUUGCAGGUUUGAGUGUCCAGGACCUGUGAAAAUAGGGCCGCUUCGAGUUUAUCAUCCAAUUACUAGGUGAUGAAAGCUAGAUUUUGACUUUGCUUUUAUCAUAUUUCAUGCCUUCCAAACUCAAAAUUUACUGUAAUGGAUUUGUAUUCUGGUUUUUUUUAUGGAUAUGAGUAAGGUCGAGUUACUUUUUAAUGGUUAAUGAAUGUGUUUUGCUUUUGGUUGUCCUAUGCUCUAUGUUUUUUCAUCUUCUGGAAAACUGAAGAUCUCUCACUUCUGCAAGUUUAUGUUGUUUAGACUUGUGUCUAUCCAGAUAUGAGUAUGGAUAUUUUCUAAAUACGAAAAAAUUGAACAUAUUCAUAUCAGAUGCAUAGUCGAUUGAUGAGCCAAGGAAGAAAAUAUUUAAGUAUAUUUGGUUUGGAUCAAGUGUAGGUUUUAUUUAAAUUUUCUGUUUUGGUUGGGAUGUUUUUGUUCUGGUUAUUCUCUGUUAAAUUGUUUGAGGGUUUUUUUUUUAAUUUUGUGUUAUAACACAUUUAGUCCUCAAAAUUGGUAUAUUCAAUCAAUUUGAUCUUAAUUCUAAAUAUUUCAACAAAUUUAACCUUCCAUAUUUAUAAAUUUUAACAAUUUCAUCCUUAAACGCAUAUCAGAAUUAAAACUAGUAAAACAGUUGAUGAUGAGGGUCGUCUUGUAUUUCGAGACUCUAAACUAGUUGAGGACUAAAUUUCCUGUGGUCUUCUUCCAGUUAUGUUUUCAAAACGUCAUCAGUAACAAUGAACCAUUAGUUUUCACAUGCAAAAGUAUAAUUUCAAUUUUUUUUGAAGAUGUGUUUCAAGAUCAAAACCGUGGGUUAAAUUUGUUGAAAUAUUUAUAAUUGAAAUUAGAUUGAUAUAAUGUAAGUGUUGAAGAUUAAAUGUGUUAAAAAUAUUUAUAUAUGUCAAAUAUGAACUAAAUUAAAAUAUAAUGAAAGUGUUGAGGAUUAAAUCUAAUAAUUAUUUGUUUUAUGUAAGAAAUUUUCUAUCAUUAAAUAUAUACUAAUGUAUACUAUUUUUAAUAAAUAUGAUAAAGAUGUCAUGCUGAUUAAAAAAAGUUAUAUUCAUGACAAGUACAAAGACAAAAUGUGCUAUGAAAAGUACGAUAAAUUACUUUAAUUUUACACUAAUGUAAAAUGCAUUUGGUUAAAAAUAUGAGUUAAUUUCUGUACUUUGUAAAAAUUAAGUUUUAGCCUAUGUAAAGUUAAAAAUUAAGUCUUACUUUUUUUUAUCUAAAAACUUAGUCGAAUCAUUUACCUUGUUAGUAUUUUGUCUCAAAAUUUAUCAAUUUGGUAUAUUGACUAGGCCGUAUUCAUAUCAUGUGACAUAUGAUUGAUAGAAAAUAAAUAAAUUGAUAAAAUUUUUAUGGAAAUUAUCAACAGUGAUGAUUGAAAUAAAAUUUUUAAAUUAAAAAAAUUAAAUUUUAAACUUUUAAAUAACUAAAUUUCAAAAUUAAUACAACUACAUUUUACCCGUUGCAUUAAGGACGAUGUCAUGCGGCAGCACAAAUAAAAACAUGCGCAGCAACAGAACCCUUCCAAAUUAAAAAAAAAAAAAUAGCAAACUUACUGCAAGAUUAAAUGCUUAUUCUUUCGCAUAAACUUAACCCCAUGCUUGGAUUCAAGUCGGAAAAGAAAGGAAAUGAUGUAUUUCCUUUGAUUAUAUUUAAAAUGAGUAAAGAGAACAAGAAGAAAUUAAUCACAACUUUCCAUUAGUUGUGGACAGGAAAAAAAAUGUACAUAUUACAAUUUUUUCAAUUAUAUACUUGUUCAUAUAAAAUUGAACUUCUUUUUUUUAUGUAUAAUAUGAGUAAUUUUGAAAUUAAUUAUUUUAAAUGACGUUGAAAAUUAAAGAUAAACAUUUAUUUAUAAAAAUUAUUUUUAUAACUAUUUCAUAAAAUUAAAAAGAUAAAUUUGAAUAAAUAUUUUAUUUUCCUAUAAUUACAUGUCUUUAGUCAUUUUCUUUAUUUAAUUUUUUAUAAAAAUUCAAAAAAUAACAUAAAAACACAUUUUCCCUUGAAAAUAAAGGAAAAAAAUUUUAAAAUUUAUAAAAACAUUUAAUAAUAUUAUAAACAUUAAUUAUACAGUACAAAUUUAAUUAAAAAUCAAAAUAUUCACAUCAUUAACACUGAAACUUAAAAUGUUUUAAAAUAUUAUCCAAAGGCGAAUAUUCAUCUAACCUAAGUUAAAGUAAUUAUAAAACAUUAAAAUAUUAAAACUUUUAUCAUAAGGUAGACAAAAAGUAAACAACACUUGUGCAGCUAGGAGAAGCUUUGUAGGCCCGUUCGAACGAUGGACUGGGUAUUUUAAUGACACGAUUGAUGAAUGAAGCCCUUUCGGCAAAACAAGCAUGAGAAUCAUAAUAGAAAAUGUUUUGAAAUCUAAAUACUACAAGGAUCGGGAGCUAGAAAACAUGGAAAAGAAACCAGCAAAUUCAUGGAUUUGGGAGGAAUUUCUGCAAGAUGGGGAAACAUGUGCAGAUCUGAGAAGGUACUAAAUGUGAUGUGGGCGAAGAGAUUGAUAAGCCAUGUCCCUUGUGUAAAAGAGAUAUAUAGGGUCUUUUUUCAAUGCGAGCCAUUUAGUUUGGGAAUCCUCUUUCUACCAAUCUAGACUUGGUGAAGGAUAGGAUACUCCAUUGGAUUUAUUUGACUAUACCAUGAAAUACUGAACAAGUAAAGAAUUAUAAGAGAAAAUUGGUUGAAUCAUUAUCUUGCUUACAAUGCUUAUUAAGGUUUGUAUUUAUACAUAUGAUAUUAAAGGUUGCUAAGCUGCUAACUAGCUAACUUCUGUAACUAUCUGCUAACUUCUUUAACCUUUCUUUAACAAACUAACUAAUCGACUGCUACUACUCUAACAUUCUCCCGGUUUGUCUUGUGUUGACCUUUUGGUUGACUAUCGCUCAAAGGGAGGACUCGUAAGGCAUCUCGAAAGGAAGUGUAGAAUUAACUUCGAUAAUGGCAAUAUAGAACAAUUGCAAAGCAAUAAAAAAAUAAUAGAACACACAGAUUUUAUGUGGAAAACCCUUUCGGGAAAAACCACAGGCAGAGGAGAAGAAAAUUCAUUAAUGUCGAAUUCGAAUAAUACAAGAGGAGUUUCAAUUGCAUCUAUUUGAAUGAUGAAAAACCUUUCUAAUCAGUGUCAAAUAGAUGAAGUGUAGUAAGGCUGUAAAACCUUAUUCUAUUCAAUGUCAAAUAAAAGAAGUACAGUUUUAUAUGGAUUUACUUUUAUUUUAUUUUACCACUGUAUUUUAUUUUAACAAGAAUUUGGGUCACACAACUCUAACAGGAAGAAAACUGCUUUGGAGUGAUAAGUUUGGUGAGAACGUCUACAAUUUGACUUGUUGAGGGCACAAAAUUAACAUGUAGGAUACCAUCAUGAACUUUCUCUCGAACAAAGUGAUGAUCAAUCUCCACGUGCUUAACCUUAGCAUGAUGAGUUGGAUUGGCUGCAAUUGACAUUGUGGAGGUGUUGUCACACCAUACUACUAGAGUAUGUUAUAGAUAGACACCAACUUUAGUCAACAGCUGCUUCACCCAUAGUAGUUCAGCAACACAAUUUGAGAGACUGCGAUACUCAGCUUCUGAGGAGGAUAUGGAAACAACAACUUGCUUCUUGGAACACCAUGCAAUUGGAUUGGAGCCAAGGUAAAUGCAGUAACCUGUGGUGGAUCGUUUGUCUUCAAUAGUGGAUACCCAGUCAGCAUUAGAAUAAUAGACUAAUUCAAAACAACCUUUGGUGAAGUAUAAGCCAUGAUCUAAAGUUCCAUUAAGAUAUCUCAACACACGCUUCACUACCUGCCAGUGAGUAUCCUUUGGAGCAUUCAUGUAUUGACUCAGUUUAUUGACACAAAAGGCUAUGUCUGGUUGUGUAAUGCAUGUAUACUAUAAAGUUCCAAUAAUGCUAUGAUACAAAUGACCAUCAGGAAAUGGACUACCACUUGUUACAGUCAACUUGGGUGUACCUACCAUAGAUGUUGGAGUCGGUGAGGCUUAAUCCAUUCCUACCUUAUGAAGUAACUCCAGAAUAUACUUCUUCUGAGAGAGAUAUAGCCCAUGUGACACAUGAUGAACUUCAAUGUCAAGGAAGAAAUGAAGAUCUCCCAUGUCUUUGAGAGAAAACCUGUUAUGUAGCUGAUGAACAAUCUUAUCAAUCUCCUUGGAGGAGCUUCUUGUGAUAAUAAUAUCAUCCACAUAGGCCAUUAGAAAUAAGGAAGACUCAACACUUGUUCAAAUAAGUAGUGAAGGAUUAACUUUAGGAGCAUGAAAACUAAGUUGUCCAACUAGAUACUCCCUCAAUGUAUGAAACCAGGCCCAAUAUGUCUAUCUGAGAUCAUAUAGUGCUUUGUUUAACUUGCGCACAAUCUGCUUGCCAUUUACAUAUAUAGUUUCAAACCCUGGUGGUUGAUUUAUAUAGAUUUCUUCAGUCAAAGUGCCAUUAAGGAAGGCAUUAUUGACAUCUGCUUGUUUUAGUGUCUAUCCAUUCAUAAUAGCAACAGAAAGAACAACCCUAACAGUUUUAGCACGAACUAUUAGACUAAUACAUAUCACAAAAGUUUGAUCCAACAUGUUGAGAAAAACCUUUAGCAACUAGCCUUGCUUGUAUCUAUCUACAGUCCCAUCAAGUUUCUUUUUUAUCUUGAAAAGCCAUUUGUAGCCAAUGAACCUCCUGAAAGGGGGGAGAGAAUAGAGAGUCCAUGUAUUAUUCUUGAUGAGGGCUCCCAGCUCAUUUUGGACAACUUCCUGCCAAUAAGGAUACAUCAUUGCCUCAUGAACAUCAACACGUGUAACAACCCAAUUUUGACCCUAAUCGGACAUAGUGAUUUUGGGACCACGAAUCUGAGUCAAAAAAAUAUUUUAAUAUUAUUUUUAGUGUCUAUUGCAUGUUAAGUUAUUUGUGUGAAAAUUUCGUGUGAAAAUUUGAUCGUUUGAAGGCUCAAUUCGAUAAAAAAGGCUUUAUCGCGUAAAAUAAAAUUUAGAGGUUAAAUUUUAAAAGCACCUAUUUGUUGUUGUCUUUUUAAGUGGGAGUUCUAAAGAUGAAAUUAGACCAAGAAAUAGUUAGUGGGUGGCAUAUGACAACAUUGUCCUUAAUAUAUAUGUUAUAUAUAUUUAUUAUAAUAAGGUUAAUUUAGUAAAUUAGUAAAUUAUAUCAUAUAAUUAAAAUAAGUAAAGAAAACAUGAAANNNNNNNNNNNNNNNNNNNNNNNNNNNNNNNNNNNNNNNNNNNNNNNNNNNNNNNNNNNNNNNNNNNNNNNNNNNNNNNNNNNNNNNNNNNNNNNNNNNNACAUGUGUUUUAUCUGAUUGCAGGCCUUGUCAUUUCUCUCACUAGCCGCGGCUUGCUCAACUGCUAGUGUGACAAGUCUUUUGGUCAAUGUCAGCUCGACAUAUUGCCCGUCAAAGAUAUGCUGUAGAUAUCAAUUGCCUGCAGCUAUGGCUUUCAUGUUCUGGUUUCUAUCCUUUGCUUUAACUCUUUUCAAUCUUUGGCUCCUUCUGUCUUUGUAGCGACUCGCAACUUCCAAGUUCCAACCCUUUCUUCAUACACAAAAAGUUCAGCAGGCAGAUCCUGACAGUUCCAAAGAUGUUCAAAUUAAGAAGUGUACAUUGACAGUAUUAUAUACAAACAUCAAAAUCUUGAAUGAUAAAAUUGAAUUUCAAUGUUUUUUGAAUAAAGUUUGCUGCCAAUUUACGAUUCAUUGAUUCAUUUAUCUAGUUCAUACAGUUAAUAUUCUAGCUUAAUAAUUGAGUAUUAUUAUAUAUUUAAUUUGAUUUAUUUAAUUAUAAAUAAAUCAUUGCAAUAUAUGUAAAAACAAUUUAAAAUAUAAAAAUUUAUUAAUAUAUAUUAAUAUAUGUAAAAACAACUUUUCCAAAAAAUAUUUUCAGGAAAUCUGCCAAACAGCAGAAAAUAUUUUACACAGAUUCAAUCAAACACCAGAAAAUAUUUUCCAGUAAAUCAUUUUACAGAAAAGUAAAACAUUUUUCAGAAAUCAUUUUACGGAAAACAUUAUACUGGCAAUCAAACAGACCCUAAAUUUUGAUACAUUUCAAACAAUACAAUAUGCUUAUUUGUAUAAAACAUAUUUAGAUAUGAUGUAAAAUCAUUUACAGGUCUUAUACAUAAGAUCUUUUACUGAAUCGAGGUCGACUAAAUACUAAUUAAAAAAGUUUCAAAACCCGCGAGUUAAUGCCGCAACAUUAGGGUUUUCUUGUCGCGACAUCGUCCAUCAGUGAGUUACUUAAAAAUCUUGAUUUCGCGAAGCCCCUUUUUUUUAUCUAUAUUGUGACACUAAGGAUAGAUGGUUGCAACGUCACCUCUGUUUUGGUAGGAAUCUCAUUUGGUACAAUUUUCAUGCUUCCAACAAAUACAUCACAUUUCACAUAUGCAUAUGCUAAUGUUACCAAUACAAAAACAUGUCAAUCCAUGCCAAAUCAAGUCAAUAUCACUUUUGAAACAACCAUUCUAAUGGCAUAAAAUUCAUGACCAAAACAUAACCAUUUUCAAUCCAUUUACUAACUUGCUAAAUCUAUUCACUAUGCAAUCCACAAUAUAUCUAACUUAUGCAAGCCUCGAUCAUCACAUUUAAUGGCACCAAACAUGUCCCAAAACCAUGCAUCAAAUAGGUUAUAUAUCAAACUUAUCAACAAGUUCAAUGUUAGCCACAAUUACAUCCUCAUCACAUACAUCAAAUUGAUCAUUUCCAUAGCAUAAGGACCUUAUAUACAUGCCACAACCUUUGGAACCAAAAUGAACAUAUUUCUACUAUUUCGAUGAUAGAUUGACAUCCGCAAAGAUCCGAAUUUGAGAGUUCCACAAAUUGAAGAUCUAAGUAAGAGAAGCAACUAAAGUAAGUAUACAAAUGCUAAGAGAAGCAACUAAAGUAAGUAUACAAAUGCUUAGUAAGUUCAAAUGGAAAACACAAUGUAACAGCCCGAUUUCGACUCUAAUUGGACAUAGUGGUUUCGGGACCACAAGUCCGAGUCAAAAAAUAUUUUAAUAUUAUUUUGUAUGUUUAUUAUGUGUGAAUUUAAUUAUGUGAAAUUUUCGUGUUUUAAUUUCGUCGUUUGAGUGUCCGAUUAAAUAAAAGGAUUAAAUCGCGUAAAAUAAAAAUUUAAUGGUUAAAUAUGAAAGUGUCUAUUUGUUGUUGUCUUUUUAAGUGAGAGGUCUAAAGGUGUAAUUAGACCAAAAUAUAGUCAGUGGGUGACAUAUGACAACAUUGUCCUUUAUAUAUAUGUUUUAUAUAUUUAUUAUAUAAGGUUAAUUUAGUAAUUUAUUAAAUUAUGUCAUAUAAUUAAAAUAAGUAAAGAAAGCAUAAAAAAAAACAACAAAACAUUCUUACCUUGGCCGAAUGUUAAGCUUGGGAGAAUUCAUCAAUGGCUUUUAGGGUUUCGGCAAUUCCCAUUGAAAAUUAAGGUGUGUUUUGGUUUCGGUUUUUGAUAAUUUUUAUGUUUUUGAGAUCGUUGCUUUGUAUACUACAAGACCCAUGCUUGAAUUUUUGAAAUUGUUGAUUAUUUUGUGUUUUUCCAUUGAUGAUAACUUGUGAUAUGUGAUGUUAGUUGAUGAAAUAUGAAAUAUAGGUGUUAGAUUAAAAUGUUUUGUCUUUGAAUUUUUAGUGAAAUUGAGUAAAUAGGGCUAAAUUGUGAAAUUAAAUUUUUGGGGGACUAAAAUGUGAAAUAAAUNNNNNNNNNNNNNNNNNNNNNNNNNNNNNNNNNNNNNNNNNNNNNNNNNNNNNNNNNNNNNNNNNNNNNNNNNNNNNNNNNNNNNNNNNNNNNNNNNNNNCAAAUUGUGUGUAAUUUGUGUUUUAUGCAAUAGGGAGUAAAUUGCAAAAAGUGUAAAUAUUAGGGGCAAAAUAGUAAUUUUCCAAAUUAUGUGUUUUUGGAAUAAAUUGAAUGUGUUAAUAAAUAAAUUAUCUCAUUUUGAAUAUAUUUAGAUCGAGAACCAAAGAAAUCGGAGUUAGAUCGGGGAAAAACCAAAAUAGUCGAAUAAUCGUCCGACUUCAAUUUUUCAUCGUCCGAGGUAAGUCUACUAGCUUAUAAAUAGAACUAAAUUAGUAUAUAAAUAUGUGUACGAAUCUAUAUUGAAUUAUUAUUGAUUUAUAAUCAAGUAUACUUUGGUUGAAUAGAUUUGAAAUAUGGAUAGAAAUUGUGUAUAAGCUAUGUUCGGCUAAAUGGAUAUAUGCCUAUAUAAGUUUUGGAAUUUAAUAUAGUUACGAAUGGUAUAUAGAUAAAUAUAUAUAUAUAUAUAUAUACAUUGUUUGAAUAUUCAAAUAUAUAUCUAUAUGUUUAUGUUUUUAUUUGAAAAUAUUUGAUGAUAUGAGAAAUGUAAAUGUAAACAUAAGAUUCGAACAUAUACAUGUACAUUCAUGUAUAACUUUUGGGAUGGAUUAAAAGUGUGUAUAUUGCAUAUGCAUAGGUAAAUUUCGAAUAAGUGUUUAAAUGUGAGUUGAAACAUAUAUGUAUACAUUCGAAUAGGUCUUAAACAUAUCUCAAGAUAUGAAUGUUAAGUUUACAUAUAUAUAUAUGGGUAGUAUUGAAUACGUACAAAUAUAUAUGUAUAGUUAGUUUCGAAUAGGUGAAUAUAUAUAUAUAUGUAAAAUUCUUGUAUUGAAAUUAGUUAAGUAGUAAGGUAUAUGAAUAUAUGUACGCGAAUACAAUUUAUAGAAAUUAGAAUUGUAUUGAAGAUAGGAUUUUAUAANNNNNNNNNNNNNNNNNNNNNNNNNNNNNNNNNNNNNNNNNNNNNNNNNNNNNNNNNNNNNNNNNNNNNNNNNNNNNNNNNNNNNNNNNNNNNNNNNNNNNNNNNNNNNNNNNNNNNNNNNNNNNNNNNNNNNNNNNNNNNNNNNNNNNNNNNNNNNNNNNNNNNNNNNNNNNNNNNNNNNNNNNNNNNNNNNNNNNNNNNNNNNNNNNNNNNNNNNNNNNNNNNNNNNNNNNNNNNNNNNNNNNNNNNNNNNNNNNNNNNNNNNNNNNNNNNNNNNNNNNNNNNNNNNNNNNNNNNNNNNNNNNNNNNNNNNNNNNNNNNNNNNNNNNNNNNNNNNNNNNNNNNNNNNNNNNNNNNNNNNNNNNNNNNNNNNNNNNNNNNNNNNNNNNNNNNNNNNNNNNNNNNNNNNNNNNNNNNAAUUAAUGAUUAUGUCUGUAAUUUGAUUAUAAGCAUAUAAUGUUUAUACAUAUGUUCGUUUAUAUGUAUUUUAGAUAUGUUAUAAACUUAUUAAGCUAUAAAAGCUUACUUCGAUUGUUUUUAUCCAUUUGUUUUAUAGAUAAAAACCAAGCUGCAGACUCGGGGAUCGUUAGCGAAGAUCAUCACUCUAUCUACUAUCUCGGUAUUAAAACGUUUAAAUUUUAACUUAUGGCAUGUAUAGGCUAGAUAAUAUUUUGGGAUUCAUACUUUAAUAUGAUGUAUAUAUAUAAUUAAUAGCCAUACUAAAUUAGUUUAUUUUUCUUAUGGUUUAACUGAACUGAAAUGUUAUGUUUUGUUAUAAAAAUAUAAAUUAAAAUUAUUAAAGUAGAAUUUCUAAUUAUACUUACUUCAUAUUUGACUAAUUUAACAUAGAUGUAAAAUUUUUGAAUUCUACUGAAUGUUUGUGUUAAGUUGCGUUUUGUCCGAUAACACCUCGUAACCCUAAUUUAUUUACGUAUACGGGUUAGGGGUGUUACAAUGCUAUUGACUUACUAAGCUUUUAAAUGCUUACUGUAUGUGUUUGUGUCUGUUUAAUUUGUUUUAUAGAUUUUGAGGUGGUUACGAGCUCGGGAUCGUCAGUAAAGUUUAUCACACUAUAGGAUAAUUAAGGUAUUUUAAGCUGAAAUUUUUCUUUGAGAUUAUGGCAUGUAUAGACUAGUUUGAAAUUGUUUCUUUUGAGAGUAAAUAUGUAUUAAAGCCAUGCGUAUGUGGCUUAAUUAGUUUGUUAUAAUCGGUUUUGGUUUGAAUGAUAAUUUAUGCACAUUUUGGUUUGGUUUGGCAUUAUAAGAAAUAUGUAAGGUAAAUAAAUAAUGUGUGUAUGGUUUAUUCGAACUAGGUUUGAGCUUAAUAAUUAUAUAUCAUGUUAAUAGGUGGAAGUGUGCAUUGUUUUAGAGUUGAAUUUGGUUUUGAAUGCUAAUGAAGAAUUAAAUUUGUGAAUUAGAAUUCUAUAUGAAAGUAUAUAUGUUUAAAUUGAGGUAUGAAAUGCAUUUUUAUAAGGUGAUGAAAUGAAAACUUUUAUAAAUAAUAUAUGUAUAAUUAAUUACUUAUGAGUAUAUGCAGUUUUAGUAUUUAUAUAUAUAUUUAUGUAUAUAAGAUAUGCUAAAUCGAUAUAGACAUAUAUACUUGGAGUUCACAAGUAUGAAGAUAUAGGUUUAAUAUAUGUCGAUUAUACAUAUAAAAAUAUUUACAUUCGAUCAUACCUUGAUAAAUUGAUUUUGGUUGUUUUAACCUUGUUUAAAUUUGAAUAAGUUCAUUAAUUUAGCAUUUAUAAGUACAGAAAUGCAAAUUUGAUAUAAUGUGAUUUAUAUUUAUACUUAUAAUAUUAAAUGAGUUUAGAACAUUUUGUACAUUUGCGUAGUGAUGACUAUGGUUUAUAUACAUAUGCAUGAUCAUAAUGUUAUUUGUAAGUUUAAAAUUUAAUAGAUGUAAUUGUGUUAUUUUGAAUUCAACAAGUAUAGAAUUUGACUUAUUGUUUAUAUGCAAGAUAUUUAAAAUAAGUGAUGAAUAUGUAUUUCUUUAAGUCACUUUGUGAAUUAUGAUUUUGUAUUUAUUUGUAUUCAAUUGUGCUAUGUUUUGGUAAUGCCUCGUAACCCUAAUCCGGUGACGGAUACAGGUUAGGGGUGUUACAACACGUGUAGUGUUAGAUAAUUGAGUUACCUUGGAAUGAUAGAUUUUGGGUUUGAAUGUGCCUACCUUGUUAUGAGUGAUCAUAGAAUGAGUAUUGACUAAAUUGUGUGAGGACUGACUGAACUCAGAAUGAUCAAUUGGACUAGGUUGACUUGACUCAGAAGGAACAGUAGGUUCAAUAAGGUUGGAAUCAAGUAAUGGUGCGCUAGACAUUGAACUAGGUGAUUCACUCGAGAGGGGUUGUCGAUGAACUGGAUUUGGAGACUGUUGGUGAGUUGAAUUUGGUUGUGAUUGAUGUGGAAAAAUGAUCAACUUUGAGCAGGUUGUAUGACAUGGUGGGUUGCUAUUGGAUGAUUUUGGACAGUUUGAGUUAGAUCGAAAUGGAAACUCGUUUUCAUGAAAUGUAACAUGUCUUGAUAUAUAUAAAUUCUUUUUAAAGAAUCUCUACACUUAUAGCUUUUAUGUUGAGAGGAAUACCCUAAAAAGGUACAAAGGGUGGACCUGAAUUGUAACUUGUUUGUGUUGUAUGGUCUGAGAUUAGGGAAACAUAAACAACCAAAGACUCUGAGAAACAAGUAGUUUGGUUUUUCUUUGAAUAGUUUUUCAUAGGGAGAGGCAUUACUUAAAGGUUGAGAAGGUAAUCAAUUUAUCAAGAACACUACACUACUAAAUGCUUCAUGCCAGUAGUACAAGAGCAUUAAUACAUGGGCAAGCAUGGAGAGGCCUGUUUCCACAAUAUGUUUGUGCUUUCUCUAAACCAAACCAUUCUGCUCAAACGUAUAAGGAUAUGUAGUUUUGUGAACAAUCCCUUUUUGAGUAAAAAACCACUUCAAAGUUUGAAACUCUCCUCCCUCAUCAAUUUGAAGAGCCUUAAGUCUAUGACCAAAAUGUUAGAGUAUGCCCAAAGAUCAAUCAUGAGAUGGUUGUAAUAACAUACUUGAUUUAUCAUGUUUAUUAAUAUAAGGCGUUACCAUUAUUAUUUCAGUUUCUUUUCUGUGUAUAUAAAUAAACUGUUUUAUAAUAAUGUCCUGAGAAUAAUAUGAUUAUUCUUAAAAGUUCCUUAGUCAAGUAUUAUUGUUGGAUAGGACAACGAUAAUGCAUUAAGACUAACAUGUAGUUGAUUGAUGAUAAAGAGUUGUCAUUGAUAUGGAAUGUCAGAAUCAUUACAUGAAUAUGUGUGUUAGAGUACAACAUAUUGGACUGACCCGCUAUGAGUAUGUUUCUUGGAUUAUUAUGUAAUUGUCACGACAUUACUCAUAAUGAUUAAUAUUUAUAUGAUCCUCAGACUUGAGAUCAUCAUAAUCCCAACAUCGUGAGUUGUAUAUUUUGAUACAGUCAAACGUACACCAUAACUGGUUGUUCUAUAAAGACUGAUGUUGGAUAUACCACAAUCUAUGUAGAGGGAUAUGGUUGGUCGAUAUAGGAUAAGUCUCUCCUACAUAAUAGGAGUAAUAUCUUAGGCCACUUGAUUAAGUGAGACUAGAAAUGCAUGGCCAUGCUCAAAUAAGUUGAUAUUAGAUGUCAUACUUAUUUGUAUAUCGUAGUCUGCUUAAGAUAUCAAGGAACAUGGAAUGGACAAUGCAAGUGUGACUAUUCCAUGACUUGUGUCCAAUCCAGAGAUAAAGGACUUAAGGAUUAUUGCAUAAAAGGUUAAUCAUAAAAAAAAAGGUUAUGUCGAAUCAUGAUCUCUUGUGACUUAGGUAGCAAUGAUGCAUUGCUAGAUGCCACUCAUUGAUUGUAGCAUUAGAAUCAUUCUAGUGUUACUGCUAACGUUACAAGAACCUACAGGGUCACACCCUAUAGUUGAAAUGAACGGAAUAAACCAUAGUUGGUAUUGUUUUUGGGGUCGUUUGAAUUAAAUUAAUUAUAGAAUUAAUUUAAUUCGGUAAUCAAAUUUCCAACACAUUAUGUACAAGGUUGUUGUAUGUAUAAUGAGGACAUGAAUUUGGUUAGCAUAAGAAUUCAAAUAAAUAUAUGGUUUACCGAACUUAUAUUUAAUUAAUGUAAUUAUAAUUUUCGGUAUAAAAAUAUUAUUAUCUUUAUUUAAUUCCUAAAAACCCUAAAACAAAAGGAUAUAUAUAUAAUCCCGUUUUUCUUUGUUUGAGCCUAGCAGCCGUCAAAGAAAAAUAACUCUCAAAACUGUUUUGGGGAUUCCUUCCGUUCGUAGUCAACUGGGUGGAUUACGUAGAGGCCGGGAUCACGAUAGAUUGCGGCUUGGUUCGACAGCAGAUCAGACUACUCGUUGUUGAGGUGUUGCUGUCUACUCUGAAUAAACAUUAGGUAAUUUCCCAACCUUGAUCACCUCGAUUCGUUCCUCACACAUAGAUCCAUGGUUAGGAACUAAGGAAACAUAGUUACCACAUUUGACUUUUUGUUUAAGAAGUAUACCCAAGUAUAUCGGGUAUAGGCAUCUCUGAAUGCUAUAUAGUAAGCAAAGUCAUUCGAGUGAAUUGGGGUAGGUCUUCAAACACAACGCCCACCAUUUGAAAGGGAGAAGUAUAUUCAAAGACAAUAACAUAAAAUGAUUACUUAUGCUAUUUUCCUAGGUGACAAGACACACAAUCCACAGUUUUAUUAUCACAAAAUGGCACAUUACAAUGAUGCAAAGCUUUCUUCAGUGUAGCCAAAUAGGGAUGACGUAGUCUAGAGUGUCAUACAUUCAAAGGUACAUUUCUAUCAACAAUAAAAUACUGAGCUGAUUUAUCAGUCAUCAAAGUCUUGAAGGCAUUAAUUAGGUUCAACUUGUAAAGUCCAUUGUGAAUCGACCCUUGCAACAACACCUCCCUCAUUCUUAAGUCACGAACUUGAGACCUGUUAGGAAAGAACUUAAAUAGAACCUAAUUUUCCUUGGCAAAUUUGGACACAGACUUCAUGUUUAGUGAUGUUAGGUACAAAUAAGAGAGACCGCAUAUAUAGUGGACGAGAGUAAGUGAGCAAGGAUGAUUGAACAGUGCGAAUAAUAGGUAGGGCAACACCAUUACCCACAUAUACCAUACCUGAGCCACUAUAUGGAGUGCUUUCAGUCAUUGAAGUAGUAAAGUGUGUAAGAUGAUGGGUAGCACCAGAAUUUAGAUACCCCAUGCAUUAUCUCCCAUAGUGUCAGGAGUUGUUACAAAAGCUUGAGAGUUGGAAGGUGUUGCAAGGACAUUCAUAGUUUGUGUUAGAGAAUGAAAUGGAUUUGUCCAAGUUUGAGAUGUUGGAGAAAAGAAUACCCAACUGCCUCGAGAGUUCAUUAUAAGAGUGGAAAACAGGCAUAGGUGAACUAAACUGAUGCAUCGAAGGGGAAAUUGAAGCCCUAUUGCUAAACAUACACAUGUUGGCUUGUGGAGGAGGUCGAUAUGCUGUACUUUUAUAAUUGGUAUAAAAUCAAUGAUAAUAACGAUCCACAAUAUGACCAAUUUUCCCACAUAGUUGACAUUGAAUACGCAAGUUAGACGAGUGUCCACGUCCACGACCUCGUCUAGAGGCUGAGGUGGGAUGAUAUGUUGGUUGAUGGACACAAUCAGUAAAGUCAAUGGAACGAUUUGUAACCAUAUUGGUUGAACUGGACACAUUAACCAUUGUAGCUUGUAACUUUGCUUCAGCAUCAAGAAGCAUGGUUGUAAUUUCUUGAACACUAUACCAGACCUAGCUUGAUAUGAUGUCUGUUACAAUGACCUCAAACUCAGAAGAAAGCCCAUUUAGAAUCACAGUGACAUGUUCAUGUUCACUGAUUACUUCACCACAGCUUGUAAGGUUAUCACCAUAGUUCUUUAUUUUCAUCAAGAAUCCUUCAUUGAUAAGUCUCCCUUUCGUUGAGAAUGCAGAGCACGUCUGUAAACUAUUAACCUAGACAUAGUUUUGUUGCCAUAGAUGGUAGCAAGUGUAUUCCAGAUUUGAGAACUCGAAUCUCUCCCUAUGAGGUAAGGAAGAACACUUUAACUGAUGGAAGAUAGAAGCUAGGAAGCAAGUACACUGUCUUUAUGAAAAACACCAUCAUCAUAUCGAGCAAAGUCUGAGUUUUUAUGAAGAACACCAUCAUCAUUAGGAACAAGUGUGAGAGGAAGGACCAUGCAACCAUCAAGAAACUGUUGCUACUUGUGAGUCUUGAUGGCAAGAAGUACUUGUUGUCUCCAUAGUAGGUAAUUAGAAUAAUCAAGAAGUAUAUUAAUAUUCUUGGUUGAAAAAAAAAAGACUAUCAAAGACACUAUCGGUGAAGAUAGAAGCCAUUGCUGGGGUAGCAGUGGAAGUCGCAGUUGAGCUGGUAAACACCAGGAGCAGUUCUUCACAGGAUCAAUCCAUGAGGAUAAAGACUUCUGAUAUCAUGUUUAACUAUACAAUGAAAUACUAAACAAGUACAAAAUUAUGAAGAUAAGAUUGGUUGACUCAUUAUCUUACUUACAAAGCUCAUUAAGGUUUGUAUUUUUACAGAUGAUAUUAAAGGUUACUAAGCUGCUAACUAACUAACUUCUGUAACUAUCUACUAACUUCUUUUACCUUUCUUUAAUAGACUAACUACUCAACAACUACUACUACUCUAAUAUGCUUCAAUUUAAUAAUAUAGAUAGCAGUGAAACAUGAGAGUUAUGAGCCUUUAGGGAAUAGGGAAAGCUUGAAAUGUGAGUUAUGCCUCAAGACGUUACAACAAAUAAAUAAUUUCUACUCUUAUAUCAUGUCUGCAAAUUUCUCGUCUACUAACAAGUAUUAAGAUAAAUCCUUCAACGACAAGUAACUUGGUGAUAGAUGAUGGAACUUGGUUUUUAAGAUAGUAAAGGGAAAUGUGGAGGAGUUACUAUGAUUGAAGAAUUGUUUCAACUCUCUUAAAAGUUGAAACCAAGAUGACACUCAUCCACCUAACAAUUGGGAAUAAAGUGAUGUAACUUAUUAAUAAAAAGAAACCAUGGAUCAAUCUCCUCAUAGUUAGAUGAAAGGUUUUUUUUUUCAAAAAUAACUCAAAUAAGUUUAUUAUUUAUGAAAAUGACACACUUGCAAAAUCAUGUAUGAAAUUGACCUGUUUUGAACAGUGAAACUAGGUGCUGCCAUUGUCAUUAGAGGCAUCACCCUUCAUAAUGGGUCAAUCAUUGGUUGGUUUUAAAAAAAUAAUAAUAUUUUUGGGUGCCGUUGUUGUCAUUGGCGGCACCAAAUUGAAGUGUGAUUAAAUAAAACGUUUAAAAACCUGAUGAAACAAUUACCAUUUUAGAUUUGAUGAAAAAAGAUGAGUGGCGCCAUUAUUGCUGCUGACAACCAAUUAAAUGCUUUUAAACUUUUGGUUUAUUUGAAUGUUUGGUCUGUCCUCUUAUGAAAUUAAAUUUAAAUACCUUUUAAAAAUAUAAGAAUAAAAAAUAAACCCUUGAAAUUAUUCUUUUAUUUUUUUAAAAACAAUAAACAUAAAAAAUUAUAUAAAAUUCUUAUUUAAAUUACCCAAAUAUAUUCAUUGAGAAUUUUCCUCAAGUAAAAAAUUCUUAUUUAAAACUUUAGAAAAUUUAUUGAGGGAUAUAUUUGGGUAAUUUAAAUAAGAACUUUGUCGAAACCAUUUUUAUUUAAAAAAAAUAAAAAAUACUUGUCGAUGAAAAUUGGAGUCGCCACUAAUCUUUUAUUAAGGUGUGAUUGGAUCACCUAAAAACGACAUUGGUCUACGAGUUUUAGAAAAACGGGUUCAAAAGUCAAUUACGUACGAGGAAGGAUUAGCACCCUCGUAACGCCCAAAAAUUGAUACCAAAUUGAUUAAUUAAUGUCUUAACGUCGAGAGUUAAAAAUACGAUCCUUAAUUAAAUUAAAUUAUUUAUUAAGACUCCCUCAUUUUGAAACAGAAAACAUCACACCCAAUACGUUAGGGCACGAUAUUUUAUUUCUUCAAGAUGAGUUUGUCCAAAAGAUUUGUGUGAUAAAAUUUAAAAGAAUAUUCAUUUGUUUAAAAUUUAUAAGGAAAUCGUAGCCCAAUACAUUAGGGCACAAUUUCUCAAAAUUCUAAGCAUUGAAUAUUUCCUUUAUUAUUUUUUUAGAAAAAUUUUUAUCUCGAGAAAUCAACGCGUCACAUCCAAUACGUUAGGACACCACAUGUUGAAUUCCCGAUGACAAGCUUUAUUUUGUUUGAUUAAAGAGCAAAUCUCGAUCGUUAGAUUUUACGAAGAAAAUUGGAACCCAAUAUGUUAAGGCUCAAUUUUCUUGAAAAUCCUAAAGAUGAUGUAAUGUUAUAUUGUAUGUAUAAAUGUCGCGAUAGCAAAUACAACAAUAAUAAACACAGCAAUGGCAUAGAAAUAAUAUAAACAAAUAAAUGAACGAAACUAAUAUUCCUAAGAAAAAAUAAUUAAUGACAUGCAAAGUAUCAAAUAAACGAGCAAGAUAAAAAAUAAUAUAAAUGAAAACACAAAUUAAUAAACAAAUGAAAUAAAUAAAUAAAAAAAAUACAGAAUAAAAAGUACAUAAUAUAUACAUUGAACUUAUGAAGAAUAAAAAGACAUGCACAUGGAUUUACAUAUAAAAUCUAGAAUUAUAAAAUUUAUAUAGAAAAAUAUAUAAUGUAUUUAAGAAAAUAAAGAAAAAUACAUAAUUAUACGUAUAUAUAUAAAAUAAUAAGAAAUAUGUUUUUUAAAAAUAAGUAAGUAUUUAAUCAUUUUAAAAAACAUGAAUAUAUACGUGUAUAUAUAUAAAUAUAAAAAAAUAUUCAUUAAAAAAUAUAAAUAUAGAAAAAUAUUCGUUAGAAAAAAUAUAAAUAUAUAUACAUAUAGAUUUUUUUAAAAAAAUUAAAAUUAUAUAUAUAAUAAUUACAUUAUCAAUUAAUUAAAAAAAUAAAGAAGAUUAAAAAAGGACUAAAUUGAACUGAAGAUAAAAAAUCUGGGGUAAAUUCGCAAAUAAUUGAAGAUCAGAGGAUCAUAUUGAACACGCAAAGAAUGCAGAGAGGUUGGAAAGAAAAUUGUCCCUUCACCUCUAAAACGGCGUCGUUGCAAGUUUGACCAAAUUGAAAUUGAAAACAAAUUAAAGGCGAAUUUUAAAAAUAAAACAAACUUAAUUGUAAAAAGUAUUAAAAUGCGGAGGGGCUAAAAGCGCAAUUUACCCCUCCACUCAAAAACACGCGGAUCCUAGGCUGGGUCGGGUCGGAGUCGGGUUGGCCUCCCCAAAACGACGCCGUUUUGGGCGUCUGGGGCUCUCCAAAACGACAUCGUUUUGGUUCCCUAUAAAAGCCCCCAUCUCUCCAAAAAAACUCAUUUUAAACCCUAUUUAAAAAAAAACAAAAUCCUUUCAAAAAAAAAGCUCUCCCCUUCAGUUCUCCAGCGUCCAGUCCAGCCAUCGGCCGAUCAUCGGCCACCACGCCGGCCGUCGAUCUUCGGUGCCGGCACCACCGUCUGCGGUGGCCGAAAUGGGGAAAAUCCCUUAUUCAGUUCCUUCGGCCUCUCUAAACCUAAAUCUGGGUUUGGAGUUUUAAAAAUAUCGACGAAAACCACAAAGAAUUCAAGGAAACCCUUCGAUUUUCGGCCAUCGAUCCUCGGCGUAGCUCCUCAAACGCUUCAGCGCCGUUUCAAAGUCCAAAGAAAGGUGGUUUCUUUCAUUUUUACUUUUAUAUUAUUCGUUUAUAAAAAAAUAAAAUAAUAAAUAUAACAAUAGAAAAAUAAAUAAAUAUUGUAAAUGUCAACCUUUUUUAUCGAUUUGCCCUCUGUAUUGAACUCUCGGUUUGCUGUGAAAAUAAUAACUUUUUUUAUUUGAUAUUCCCAGGGUCCCCUUUACAGUAUUCUUAAUGGCUUUUUAUAGCAAUAAUAAAACAAAUAGUAUAGAAAGUAAAUCUUGUUUACAUCGAUUUGAUUCUCAAUCUUUUGAUUUUUCUUUCCAUAUACUAUUUUGUUUCUUUUCUUGUUAUGCAGGUGAAGCGGGGAUGCGGCUCUUGCGAAACCUGGCUGCAGCGCGAGGCUUACCCCAAAAACCCUAGGGUUUUUGAAACUGCUUCGGCCCGGGAUUUAUUUUGGGCCUCUGUUUAUUUCAGUUUAGGCCCUUAUGGGCCUAUUUGUAAUUGGACUCUAUAUUUAUUUUUUCAUGUAGGCCGUGUAAAAUUUAGGUGUUACAGUUGCCCCUCUUUGCUCGUUAUUGUGUAACGGAACGGAGCAAAGACUUUAAAAAUGCCCAAUUUUGCCCGGUCGUGCUUGGCCCUUGGUACUCCUUUUCUUCAAGUAGCCUCAUUCCUUCCUACUGCAUCUUCAAAGGUAUAGGAACUAAUGCAUCAAUCUAUUCCACUGCAAUGCCAUGGAGAUGGGAUUCGUACAUUGUAGUUUUCUCAAAAUUUUGUUAUCUUUAAUAUGCUCCACUGCAACUUUAGGGAGAUAAGACUUAUAGCUUCAACUUGAUCUGCUGCAACUUAAAGAUGAAUUUGAUGCGAUUUGCUCUACUGUAAUUUUAUAGAGAUAAGAUCCAUCACUCUAAUCCACUCCACUACAACUUUAGAGAGACAGGAUUUGUUUAUUUAGUCUGCCCCACUGCAAUUUCAGGGGGAUAAGACUUGCUUUCUUGAGUCUGCUCCACUGCAACUUUAGGGAGAUAAGACUCGAUGUGAUCUACUCUACUGUAACUUCAGAGAGAUAAGAUCUGUGGUUUUAAUCCACUCCACUGUAACUUCAAGGAGAUAGGAUUAUUGGCUUUAAUCUGCUCCACUGCAACUUCAGGGAGAUAAGAUUCGCCAUCUUCAAUCUUUCAUUGUUGGGGAAACGAGAUUCGCCGUCGUAGCUUCAAUCUGUUCCACUACACCGCCAGGGAAGUAAAAUUCACUAUUGCGGCUUCAAUCUUUUUAAUUGCAAUGUUGGGGAAACGAGAUUCACAGUCGUAGCUUCAAUCUGUUCCACUACACCGCCAGAGGAGUAAGAUUCGCCGUUGCGGCUUUAAUCUAUUCCACUGAAAUGCUAAAGAGAUAGGAUUCACUACCCACAGCUUUAAUCCGCUUCGCUUUAGCUAUUUCAAGUCUUAACGCCAGAGAGAUAAGAUCCACUGCCCUUAGCUUUAAUCUGCUCCGCUGCAACACUAGGGAAACAAGAUUCGCUACUUUAGCUUUAAUCUGUUCCACUAUAACGCCAGAGGAUUAAGAUUCGCCGUUGCGACUUUAAUCCAUUCCACUAUAAGGCCAAAGAGAUAGGAUUCGCUGCCCACAGCUUUAAUCCGCUCUACUUCUGCUAAUCCAAGUCUUAACACCAGGGAGAUAAGAUUCGCCAUCGUGGCUUCAAUCUAUUCCGCUACAACGCCAGAGAAGUAAGAUUCGCCGUCGUGGCUUCAAUCUUUUCCAUUGCAACGUUAAGGCGAUAAGACUAAUGUCUUCGAUCUGCUUCACUGCCAGCACAGAAAGACAAGAUCUGUUAUUUUCAACCUACUCCACUGCUGCUCAGGGAGAUAAGGCUGAAGUUUCACCGGCUUGUUCUCUGGGGAACAUGACUUGUUCAAUUCAUGAACCUAUUUAUGCCUAGCUAUUAAGAUGUCAUGAUCGAAAUGAAUCAAAUGCCCCUAACUAGACAUGUAUGAAUGACAUUUGAAUCAAUGCAGAAUGUCAUUUUUUUAAGAAUGAUCCCUCAUUAUCAUUCAAGUUAUCAUUACUCAAAGUUUAUUAAGGCUUUAUCGCUGACGUGCUACAACGCCUUUUUGCUAGGCUGGCAUCUCUAAAGAAACACUUAAUCUAAUUGCCCCUACCGUGAACUUCAAAGCUCAAUCCACUGGGACGCAAAAAAUUUGUACCAUCUUUCUUCCACUGUGACCCAAUGGUAGAAUAAUUUGGCUUUUCCUCAAUCUUAUCGUAUCUCAAGGAUGCAGAUCAUGAAACACCUUGGUUCUUUACACCCUUCCCCGGGUAUCAUACUAAAUUCUUAUGUGCAAAUGAAGAAUUUCUUUUCUAAAGGGAACUUCUUUCUAUCCCUUGAAGCUUUGUCACCAAUCAAGAUUUCUUGUUGUCUCGUUCUAUCAACAUUUGGACAACAAAAUCUGAAAGAACAAUUUUAAUUUAGACUUUUCCUUCUUCGUUUUAAGCUUGGCGUGUUCUAAACCAUAGUCCUAUUUCAGGUUACUGAAUUAUUUAGAAAUUCCCAGAGUAAUAUGGAGAACUCCUUUUGUGAAAGUUUAUUAGUCCAUUAAUCAUUAUUUUAAUGCAACAUGCUUGCAAAAAGAUUAAAAUACUGACUAAGAGAUAAAUUAAUUUGAGGCAUAACUCGAAUAAUAGAAAAAGAAUUUAUUGAUAGCAAGUUUCUUGAAAAGAAAAAGUAUUCAAGAUCAUCAAAGAAUGAAGUAUUACAAGAACAAACAAAUUCAAUACAAGUAAUAUGAAGACUAGGUGCCUUGGAUAUCGCAGCUUGAAUUUCUCCGUACAAACUAAGAAUCAUUUUGAGUUUAACAUGUGUUUAGGAGAUCCACAGUACUUUGUUGAUGCCCCAAGACGUUGUAUAUCACUUUCCUGUUGAUUUAGGUGUAGCAGGAUCACCACAUGCCCCAACCUGACAAUGUUUGAGCCGCCCUUUUCGGGUUUUCAACUCAAAUCCCCUUUGGUCUCAAGGCGCCCUUUGUGGGUUUUCACUUUGGCCUUUUUUUUUAUGUCAGAGCACCCUUUACGGGUUUUCACUUUGAUUCCUCCUUUUCCUUCAAGUGAAAUAUUUCUUGACUGAAUCUGAAUUUACAGGAUUCGGUAAGUUUUUACCAUCCAUUUCACUCAAAAUCAAAGCACCUUCAGAAAAAACCUUUUUUACAACAUAAGGUCAUUCCCAGUUUGGCAUCCAUUUCCCUCUAAAAUCCUUUUGUAGAGGGAGGAUUUUCUUCAACACCAAAUCCCCCUCAUGAAAUUCUCUAGGACGGACCUUUUUGUUAUAUGCUCUCAUCAUUCGUUUCUAGUACAUUUGACCGUGACGAAUAGCUUUUAAUUUUUUUUCCUCUAUCAAAUUCAACUGAUCAUACCGAGAAUGGAUCCAUUCAGCCUCAUCCAACUUUAACUCAGCCAAUACCUGGAGAGAAGGGAUUUUAACUUCAAUGGGUAAAACUGUCUCCAUCCCGUAAACCAAAGAAAAAGGUGUUGCCCUAGUAGAAGUCCUGACAGAUGUUCGGUAAGCAAUAAGAGCGAAUGGUAACUUCUCAUGUCAAUCCUUGUAAGUUUCAGCCAUUUUCGCCACAAUUUUCUUGAUAUUUUUGUUGGCUGCCUCCACUGCACCAUUCAUUUUUGGACGAUACAGUGAUGAAUUAUGGUGUCUAAUGUUGAACUGGUUGCAGACUUCCGCUAUUGUGCUGUUAUUCAAAUUCAGUGCAUUGUCAGAUAUGAUCCUUUCAGGCAUUCCAUAUCGACAUAUAAUCUUUUUCUUCAAAAACUUACUGACUGCUAACUUUGUGACAUUAGCAUAUGAGGCUGCUUCUACCCACUUAGUGAAGUAGUCAAUAACCACAAAAAUGAAAUGAUGUCCAUUAGAAGCCUUUGGCGAUAUUGGCCCAAUGACAUCCAUCCCCCACAUGGAGAAAGGCCAUGGAGAAGUUAUAACAUGAAGAGGUGAAUAAGGCGCAUGCAUUUUAUCUCCAUAAAUUUAGCAUUUAUGGCACUUCUUGGCAUAAUUGAUGCAAUCUCCUUCCAUAUUGGGCCAGUAAUAUCCGAAUCUCAUGAUCUGUCUAGUCAUAGUGAAUCCAUUGGCGUGUGUUCCACAAAUACCCUCAUGGACUUCUUCUAAAAUUUCCUUAGCCUCUACAACAUCCACGCAUCUUAACAGUACUCGAUCCUUUCCCCUUUUGUAUAGAAUCUCUCCAUCUAAAACAUAGUCAAUAGUUACUUUCCUCAAUGUCCUCUUAUCAUUCUCCGUUGCCUGCUCAGGAUAUUCGCGAUUCUUCACAUAUAGCAAUAUAUCUUGGUACGAGGGACGAUUAUCAUUCUCCACUUCUUCAAUAUUGUAGCAGUGGGCCGGGAUCUCAUAAAUACUAAUUUGAAUGGGCUUCAUGUCCUCUAAUUUAUUUACUUUAAUCAUGGAGGCUAAACUAGCAAGAGCAUCAGCCAUCUAAUUUUCUUCUUGUGGGAGAUAACAAAAGGUAAUGUUGUCAAAUUCUUCAAUCAAUUCUAGAAUCAAUCUCCAAUAACGGAUCAAAUUGGGGCCUCUUGUUUCCCAUUCCCCUCUUAGUUGGUAUAUUACCAAUGCUGAGUCUCCGUACACUUCUAGUGUCUCCAUUUUUCGCUCUAUGGCUGCCCGGAUACCCAUGAUGCAAGCUUCAUAUUCAGUCAUGUUAUUGGUGCAGUCAAAGUCCAAUUUACUGGUGAAAGGAUGAUAAUCUCUAUUUGGAGAUACCAGGAUUGCCCCAAUCCCAUUGCCUAAUGCAUUCGAAGUUUCGUCAAAGUUUAACCUCCAAGAAUGAUUUUCUUGAGGAUCCUCUUCAGCAUUUUCCACACACAUCAAGUCUUCAUUCGAGAAGUCAAAGUCCAAAGGUUCAUAAUCUUCUAAAGCUCUGCUAGCCAAGAAAUCUGCUAUCGCACUCCCUUUGAUGGCCUUCUGACUUGCAUAUACUAUAUCGAACUCGGAUAGCAAGAUUUGCCAUCUAGCCAUUCUCCCAUUCAACGCCGUUGACUCCAUCAUAUACUUUAAAGGGUCUAAUUUUGAAAUUAGCCAAGUCGUAUGAUAGAGUAAGUAUUGCCUCAACCUCUUUGUCGUCCAAAUCAAGGCACAACAUAAUUUUUCGAUAGACGAAUAUCUCAUUUCACAAUCAGUGAAUUUCUUACCGAGAUAGUAUAUCGCCUUUUCCUUCUUUUCAGCCGCAUCAUGCUGACCCAGCACACAUCCCAUAGAAUUGUCGAACACCGUUAAAUACAAAAUCAAUGGUCUAUCUGGCUAGGUGGUGACAGCACUGGAUUAUUGGAUAUGUAUUGCUUUAUCUUUUUAAAAGCUUCCUAGCACUCUUCAUUCCAAACACCUGGAUUAUGUUUCUUCAGAAGACAAAAUAUGGGGUCACAUUUCUCAGUCAACUGUGAAAUGAACCGAGCAAUAUAAUUCAGUCAUCCUAAGAAACCUCGAAACUCUUUCUGAGUACGUGGUGGCUGUAAAUCUCGUAUUGCCUUGACUUUGUAUGGGUCAAUCUCGAUUCCUUUUUCACUGACUACGAAGCCUAACAACUUUUCUGACCUGGCUCCAAAAGUGCAUUUUGUUGGAUUGAGUUUGAGCUGAAACUUUCUUAGUCUUAAGAACAAUUUUCUCAGGACCUGCACAUGCUUCUCCUCUGUUCUAGAUUGGACAAUCAUAUCAUCAACAUAAACCUCAAUCUCUUUGUGCAUCAUGUCGUGGAACAAGGCUACCAUGGCUCUCUGAUAUGUUGCUCCCGCAUUCUUUAAUCCGAAUGGCAUUACUUUGUACCAAAAUGUUCCCCACAAAGUAAUGAAUGUAGUCUUUCCCAUAUCUUCAGGGUGCAUCUUUAUCUGAUUGUAUCUUGAGAAACCAUCCAUGAAGGAAAACAGUGAAUAUCCCGCCGUAUUAUCCACCAAAGUAUCGAUAUGUGGCAAUGGGAAAUUGUCUUUUGGGCUAGCUUUGUUCAAAUAUCUGUAAUCUACGCACAUUCGCACUUUUCCAUCUUUUUUAGGGACUGGGACGAUGUUGGCUACCCAUUCAGAAUAUUUGACCUCCUGUAAAAACCCAGCAUCAAACUGCUUCUUGACUUCCUCUUUUAUUUUAAGCACAAUAUCGGGCCUCAUUUUUCUUAACUUCUGUUGAACCGGCUUACAAUCCUCCCUCAUAGGUAGGCGAUGCACUACAAUGUCAGUGCUCAACCCGAGCAUAUCUUGGCACGACCAUGCGAAGACAUAUUUGAAUUCUUGGAGUAAUUCAAUGAGGUCUCAUCUUGUCUUUACAGAAAUCUCAGUUCCAAUUUUCACCUCUUUCCCUUCUUCCAAGCUCACAACUUCUAUUGCUUCCUUGUGAGGUAAAAUUUAUUUUUCUUCCUGUUCUACCAUUCUCAACAAGUCCAAAGAUAAACCACCAUCUACGUCAGCUUCAAAGUCUUGUGAUCCCUCUAAACACAUGUUUCGUUCCAAAGGAAACUCUGAGUUUGUAGCAGUGUCAUUCGCGUCAUUGAUAUACAAUGACCUAAUAUGGUUACAAAAGAAUGUAUAAAUUUAUGUACAAUUAUUUGUGCAAUAUGAUUAUAAAUGAAAGAAUAAUUUAAUAUAUUUACUCGUAUAGAAAGAAUAAAAGAAUAUUUACUCGAAAGAGUUGUAUUUUAUUAAAAUAAUGAUAUUUGAACAUAAGCCUUUUUCACAAAAGAGUUCUUAUUAUUUCUAAGCUAAAAUAACAAGUUUGUUCUGAAUAUUACUCUGAGACAGUUCUAAAGACUUCAGGUAUUUCUUUCGCAGUCGAAUUAUCUAGAACACUCCCAAGUUUAUAAGGACAAAUGUCUAACAAACUCCUCCCUUCAUUUGCAUCCUCAUUUAUGGCAUUGAUGUGCAUGUUUUUCCAACGUCUCUUCGAUGCUUUCCUCAAUUGAUAUCCUUCUCUCAGAAUGAAUGAUUCCUCCAAAUAUGAAGGUUUUGGAUAUUGGGGUUUUAUCAUUGGCUCCCAUUUGAUUUCCUUCCCACUUAAACGCGCCCUUCUUCUUUCCUGCCUUCUUUCCAACUCCUUUCUUUGUCCUCUAUUUGGUUUGUACCCUAAGCCAAAGUUGUAUUGUUUCUCUUUUAGCACUGGAACCUCAAUUUUCCCUUGAAGGUAUUUCCCUAAUCCUCUUCUGGGUAAAGCUCCUUUCCCUACCAACAAUUACAAACCCAUCUUUGUAGUUUUGGAUAUUUUAGGCACCAGAAUUUUGCUCCCUUUAGGAAUAAAUGUUGCAUUUACAAACUCCAGAGAUCGAAAAGAGCAUUCCACCGACUCGUCAUUGGUCUCCACAUACAGCGCCUCAUUGGAUACAACCACUAUAAUAUCCUCUUCGGCAUUUAUUGUCACCAGCCGACCUUCUGACACUAACUUCAAUUUCUGAUGUAAUGAUGACGGUACGGCCCCCACUGACUGUAUAUAUGGUCUCCCUAAUAAGCAAUUGUAGGAAGGUUUGAUGUCCAUCACAAGAAAAUCCACCUCAUAAACUGUUGGGCCAAUCAAUAAGGGUAUCUCAAUUCUUCCCAUGACCUUUCUUUCUGUACCAUCAAACGCCCUCACUAUAUUUUGGCAUGUUUUCAUGUGCGAGCUGUCUAAGGGAAGCUUGUUAAGUGUGGAUAAUGGGAACACGUUCAAAGCUAAUCCAUUGUCAAUCAACAUUUCUGGCAAAGUAUACCCCUUGCAUCGUGUAGUGAUAUGCAAAGCCUUGGUAGACCCCAUGCCCCCAGGUGGUAUUUCAUCAUUAUUGAAGAAUAUGAAAUUAUCAGCAUUGAUAUUAUUGACCAACCGAUCUAAUUUGUCGACAGAAAUAUCGUUGGUCACAUAGGUCUCGUUCAGCACCUUCAUCAACGCAUUUUGGUGCACUUUUAAAUUCAAGAGUAAGGCUAGUACAGAUAUACGAGCCGGUUGUUUAUGCAACUGUUCGACGAGAUUAUACUCGCUAUGCUUAAAAAUUUUGAGGAAUUCCAUAGCUUCUUCCUCUUUCACUGGCUUAUUGAUAGAUAACACAGGCUUAGCUAUUUUCCCUUUUUGUUCCACUGUUACGGCCCUUCCUUUCACAGGUUCUGGAUCGGCACUCACACCCUGGUCCUUUGUAGUCUUCUUUCUAAGGAUAGUUGUAUUGCACUCGUAGUUCCAUGGAACCUUCCUACUAUCUUGGUAAGAAAAGAUUGCAGGUUUCUUUAUUAUGAUCCUUGGCAUCAUUGGCGUUCUUACUUCAUCAUUCUUUGGUCGCGAGAUGAUGACCACAGGCUGAGCUACUUUUGGAGCCUUCAUGGAUUCAGAUGUGCAUAUACUCCCUUCUUCCUUAACUUCUUCGUAGAACUCCAUUUCUUUGUUAUCCAUCAUGCCUUGAACUAAGGCUCUAAAUUCUGCACUCCUGAAUCUCGUGUCCCUUCUCGUGAUGGAACUCACAGUAGUUUUCCACCUUUUCAAAGCUUCUCUUCGAAUCCAGAACAAACAACCCUCUUUCUACCAUCUUCUUCCAGACCCAUCUCAAAGGAAUUUUCACUUCUGCGAUAUUUUCCUUGAUUCCUCUACCCAUGUUCCUACCUAUCAUGUUCAAUCCAUUAUCAUUAUGAUUAGGUAACAAUUUUUUUGUAUUAGGCGAAUCAUCCAAUUUAACAACACCCAUGCCUAUGAGUCUUUCAACCAGCUUCUUGAACACCGUAAAAUGUUCUAUGGAAUGUCCUACGAUUCUCGUGUGAUAAUCGCAUUAUGCGUUUGCAUCGUACCACUUAGGGUACGGAGGCUGCAGAGGUUUCAAGUAGUAAGGGGAAACCAGGUGUGCAUUGAAUAGAUUCUGAUAUAGCUCCCUAUACGACAUUAGAAUCGUCGUGAAUUGAAGCUUCUCCGUAUUUUAGCUUGUGUCAGAUCCCUGUUUUGAUGAUCCUUGUUGGUUAACAGCCACUUUUCCCGGCUGAUUCACCGUAAUCGUCUUUGAAUAUCCCUUACUAUAUGAACUUGUGUUGUUGACCUCAUUUUUUUUCUUCUUCGAGGCCGACCUUUUGUUACUUUCUCCAGCAUCUAUCUUCCCGCUUCUGAUAGCAUUUUCUAUCAUUUCACCAUUUAUAACUAUGUCAGAAAAGCUUUUAGUAGCACUUCCUAACAUGUGUGAUAAAUGAGGCCUUCAAUGUGUUAACGAAAAGCAUUGUCAUUUCUCGUUCUAGAAUAGAUGGCUGAACUUGGACGACAACCUCCCUCCAACUCUGUGCGUAUUGCCUAAAACUUUAACCGGGUUUCUUUUUCAUGUUUUGCAGAGUGAUUCUAUCAGGUACCAUAUCGGUUACAUGAUUGUACUGCUUUAUGAAUGCCUGUGCUAAAUCUCUCAAUGAAUUAAUUUUGGUACGGCUCAAUUGAUUGUACCACUUGGAUGCUGCCCUUGUGAGGCUAUCCUGGAAGCAAUGUAUCAGCAGUUGGUCGUUGUUAACAUACAUAGUCAUUCGUCUGCAAAACAUAGAAAUAUGAGCUUCGGGGCUACUAGUUCUGUUGUACUUCUCAAUGAAUUAAUUUUGGUACGGCUCAAUUGAUUGUACCACUUGGAUGCUGCCCUUGUGAGGCUAUCCUGGAAGCAAUGUAUCAGCAGUUGGUCGUUGUUAACAUACAUAGUCAUUCGUCUGCAAAACAUAGAAAUAUGAGCUUCGGGGCUACUAGUUCUGUUGUACUUCUCAAACUCUGGCAUUUUGAACUUGUAAGGGAGGACUAAUUCUGGAACCAAGCUCAAUUCUUUAGCAUCAAUCCCAUAGUAGCUCUCAACACAUUCCAUCGCUCUAAAUUUCUCUUCCAGCCAUUUGUACUUUUCCUCUAGCUGUUUUGGCAAUUCAUCAUUCAUUUUCUCUUUCCCAGUUGUUUCAUCAAAGUCAGGGACAACAGGAUUGACAAGGUUAUCUCCGGGAUUAGAGCCUGAUCCAGCUUGAAAAUUCAUUGGAGUUGUAACACCAGCCUGAAAAUGCUGAGGCUUGAUGGUGACAGAAGAUUUGCGCGGAUAUACCUCCACUUGGGUCUGCACAUGCUGAGGGGUAAAGCCUGGGGGAUAAAUGGGUCCCUCAUUGUCUCCUUCCAUAUUGAGUACAGAACACUUUCCUUUAUCAGUUCUUCCAGUCAACAACUGAGUUAAUUGAGCCAUCAUACUCCCUUGAGAUUCCAUCAUUUUGUCCAUCAUUUUUUGCUGAAUUUUCACAAGCUGUUCAUUCAUUUGUUGUUGAAGUUGAUCCUGCUUCUCCUUUUGGAACUGUUCUAGCCUUUCCAUCCUUUAAUCCAUGUCUUUAGUUUUUGAUCGAGUACCGUAGUGGUGUGUGGUGGGUUGGUUGGUUUCCAGAUGAACUGAUGAAUGAUUUAUAUUAAUUAGAAUCUUUUCAUAUUUUUAAUGCAUAUGAAAAAAAUACAAUGCAUGAAAUGAAUGCAAAAAAUGCGUCAAUUUUGAUUCAAUUCCAUUUUAAAAAACUUUACUAGAAAGCAAAUUUCUUUACAUAAAUUGAAUUACAAAUAAAGCUUUGCCUUAUUACUCAACAUUCUAAUCUUCCUAAGUAACACAGCUAACUCUUGCCCCCGAUCUGAUUCUAGCUCGUACUUCACACUCAGCAUGUCAGCCUGCACUACUAAAAUUUGUAUGUGAUCAGCUACUUCUCGAAUCUGGACCACCGCUACCUCCAUAAUAUGAUCUCUGCUCCUAACUUGAUUUUGAAAGUAGUGAAGCUGUUCCUUAUUACGACUUUCAAUUGCUUCCAAGCACUCGAUCCGAAUCUCACAAUUUUGCAAGCUAUUUCCAAUUCUUCUAUUCUUUUCUUCAUUUCUUCAAUUUUGCCUAAGCUUGCUCUCAACUCUAUUGUGGAAUUUUGAUUUUGAUACUGACGAAGAGAUCUUUCCAACUCAGUCACCCUAUCCUUUAAUUUACUUUUUUCUCUUUGGCUAUCUAACAAACUCUUUUCUAAAGCCUCGUUUUGCAUCUGUCUCUUGAAAUUUUCGUUCUCAUCUAUCAGCUUUGUCCUUUUCCUCUCAAAUUUCUACUCGCCACUGUUCUGAAGUUUUCCCAACCCGAUAAUUUUCAUUGACAGACGUAACUUUUUAUAUACUAUCUUCAAACUAUCCAACUCCUCUUCAACCUUGUUUUUCCCUUUUCUUAAUUUCUCAGUUUCGAGCUUUUGAACGUCUAUGUCUAAUCUUAAGUUCAUCUUCUCUUCCUCCAUUUGUUCUAUCUUAUUUUCUAACUCUGCAUUUCUUCCUUCAAAAUCUUAUCUUAUGAUUUCCAACUCAGAAGGGACGACCCGCAAAUAUUCCUCUAUUGAUUGGCUAUUUUCCUGACUUAUCUUUGGUAUAUUAUCGUUGAUUCUCUUAACCCACCAUUCAUUAUACUCAGGAGUUGUCAUCGGACCCACCGCUAACCUCUUCAUCCGGCGAGUUUGUUUCCAUGUGCUAGACAUAUCUUGAAUAUUCUUUCUAUAACCAUCAUCCCUGUAUGAAAAUUCACAAUCAGCUAUUCCUUGGGUCGCAGGUAUGAAUUGCCUUGACCUAUACUUCCUUAGCACUAACAAUGAGGCAUAUCCAACAGCUCCCCAAAUUCCAAGCAGUGGAACCCAAUCGAAAUUACCACACCUAUACAAGAUCUCAUCUGGAAGCAACCAUGGAACCCUCCACUCGACAUCCCCUCUUGAAGAUUUUGAAGAAUUGACAUCCACUUCUCCUCCAAAAUGUCGUCUCUCCUCAGUGUGGCUACAAUCUCCUUUAAUGGUGAGUAAUUUUCAGAGAAAACCCUAUAGAAAACCUGAUCAACCUUCCAAAAGUGAGUGAAACCAUGCGAGUAGGAGCUGUGCACAUCCAAUGAAUCUACCCUCACCCGCCUUUCGGCAUGCACUCAAUGACCUGAAAAUUUCUGCCAAAAUCGCUGGAAUCGGUGUAACCUUCAACAUACCCGAAAGCUUUGGGGAAGACAACUAAACCAUAUAUACUCAAAGGAAAAACGUCUAACCUCUUCCUGACAUCUGGGUGCGUAGAAUUAAAUCUUUCAAACUCUUCCAUGGAAUGCACUUGCUAUCCCCUUUUUGCUUAAUCCGUGCAGCAACCCACUGCUCACUCAUCACCGUUACAUUCAUCAGCUUCUUCGAAAAGGUUGGCACAUUUAUCGCUCUCGAGUAGACCUUGUCCACUUGAAACUUUGAACAUCGGAGUAAAGUUACAUAUUCUUCUAUCGUAGGCACCAAAUUUACCUUCCCAAAUGUGAAGCAGCUGUAAGCAGGAUUCCAAAACUGGGCGAGGGCUCGAAACAAAUACUUGUCUACCUUCACAUCAAACAAAUAAGGCAAAUCCCCAUAAUUAUUAUAAAAUGACUGUCUAACCUUGUCAUUCCACUGAUCCUAAAUUUCCUUCAACUCUUGCAAAUUGUUUUGAGUUACACUAAUACGAGUAAAAUCCCAUAGUUCUGAUACAUAUCUGUCAACCAAACUAUCGUCUUUCUCUUGCAGUGUCGUUUCAGACCAAGUUCGGACAACCGCAUUAUCCUCCACUUUAUCAAAAAACCCUUUUUCCAUGAUAAGUUUUCUAUCUAGCAACUGAAAAUUAACCGACGCCUUUUAUAAUGAAAUGAGAUGCCAUGUCAUGCAAUCAAAAUAAAACAUAAAAAGUCAGUAUCAUACAAACAUAAAAUAUAAUCAAGAAAUAGUAAAACACCUAUUUGGAUAUCUACCAAGGUUCAGUGUAGUUCUACCUAAGGUGGAUUCCUAAGGUUCACUAUAUGAAGUUCGGCUUCUAAGGCAAAGGUACUAAAACCAGCAGAUUCCUCGAUCUUCACCCAAUAUAGGCUCAUAUAGAUCAAGUUCGGUUCAGGGGAAUACAUUUUCCCUAUGACUAUACGGAGAUGAAAAUCUCACGAAGGCAUAGGUACCGAUGUAUUUCAAAAGCGACCCACUAUCCUAUAUGGAGGUGAAAACCUCACGAAGGAAUAGUUUCUCACUCCCACCUAGAAGGGUAAGAUCAUUCAAUUCAUGUAAUGUGUAAUGCAAACAAUACUUAGAUCAAUUAAGCAAGAAAAUAAUGAAUACAAAAAGAAUAUCAUGAAUUUAUUUUUUUCGACCAUAAGACAAGAAUUAAUCAACUUUGUGGCUCGACUCUCUUAUUUUAAAAAAAUGUCCCCAGUGGAGUUGCCAAGCUGUCGAAACUAUUUUUAUCUUAAAAAAAACAAAAAAUAGUUGUCGAUGAAAAUUGGAGUUGCCACUAAUCUUUUAUUAAGGUGUGAUUGGAUCACCUAAAAACGAAUUUGGUCUACGAGUUUUAUAAAAACGAGUUCGGAAGUCAGUUACGUACGAGGAAGGAUUAGCACCCUCGUAACGCCCAAAAAUUGGUACCAAAUUGAUUAAUUAAUGUCUUAACGUCGAGUUAAAAAUACGAUCCUUAAUUAAAUUAAAUUAUUUAUUAAGACUCCCUCAUUUUGAAACAGAAAACAUCACACCCAAUACGUUAGGGCACGAUAUUUUAUUUCUUCAAGAUGAGUUUGUCCAAAAGAUUUGUGUGAUAAAAUUUAAAAGAAUAUCCAUUUGUUUAAAAUUUAUAAGGAAAUCGCGGCCCAAUACAUUGGCACAAUUUCUCAAAAUUGUAAGCAUUGAAUAUUUCCUUUAUUAUUUUUUUAGAAAAAUCUUUAUCUCGAGAAAUCAACGCGUCACAUCCAAUACGUUAGGACACCACAUGUUGAAUUCCCGAUGACAAGCUUUAUUUUAUUUAAUUAAAGAGCAAUUCUUGAUUGUUAGAUUUUACGAAGAAAAUUGGAACCCAAUACGUUAGGGCUCAAUUUUCUUGAAAAUCCUAAAUACGAGUAUUAUCUCUAUUUUGAAAAUUUUAUAUUUUUAAAUUCAAGUAAAAGAUGAUGUAAUGUUAUAUUGUAUGUAUAAAUGUCGCGAUAGCAAAUACAACAAUAAUAAAUACAACAAUGGCAUAGAAAUAAUAUAAACAAAUAAAUGAACGAAACUAAUAUUCCUAAGAAAAAAAUAAUUAAUGACAUGCAAAGUAUCAAAUAAACAAGCAAGAUAAAAAAAUAAUAUAAAUGAAAACACAAAUUAAUAAACAAAUGAAAUAAAUAAAUAAAUAAUAAAAAGUACAUAAUAUAUACAUUGAACUUAUGAAGAAUAAAAAGACAUGCACAUACAUGGAUUUACAUAUAAAAUCUAGAAUUAUAAAAUUUAUAUAGCAAAAUAUAUAAUGUAUUUAUGAAAAUAAAUAAAAAUACAUAAUUAUACGUAUAUAUAAUAAUAAUAAGAAAUACGAUUUUUAAAAAAUAAGUAUUUAAUCAUUUUAAAAAACAUGAAUAUAUACGUGUAUAUAUAUAUAUAUAAAUAUAAAAAAUAUUCAUUAAAAAAUAUAAAUAUAGAAAAAUAUUCGUUAGAAGAAAAUAUAAAUAUAUAUACAUAUAUAGAUUUUUUUAAAAAAAUUAAAAUUAAAUAUAUAUAUAUAUAUAAUAAUUACAUUAUCAAUUAAUUAAAAAAUAAAGAAAAUAAAAAAGGACUAAAUUGAACUGAAGACAAAAAAUUUGGGGCAAAUUCGCAAAUAAUUGAAGAUCGAAUGACCAUAUUGAAUGCGCAAAGAAUGCAGAGGGGCUGGAAAGGAAGUUGUCCCUUCUCUAAAACGGCGCUGUUGCAAGUUGGACGAAAUUGAAAUUAAAAACAAAUUAAAGGCGAAUUUUAAAAAUAAAAUAAACUUAAUUGUAAAAAGUAUUAAAAGGCGGAGGGGCUAAAAGCACAAUUUACCCCUCCGCUCAAAAACACGCGGAUCCUAGGCCGAGUCGGGUCGACCUUCCCAAAACGACGCCGUUUUGGGCGUUUGGGGGCUCUCCAAAACGGUACCGUUUUGGUACCCUAUAAAAGCCCCUAUCUUUCCAAAAAAACUCAUUUUAAACCCUAUUUAAAAAAAAACAAAGUCCUUUAAAAAAAGCUCUCCCCCUUAGUUCUCCGGUGUCCAAUCCGGCCAUCGGCCGCUCAUCGGCCACCGCACUGGUCGUCGAUCUCCAACGUCGACACCGCCGUCUACAGUGGCCGACAAUGGGGAAAAUCCCUUAUUCGGUUCCUUCGGUCUCUCUAAACCCAAAUCUGGGUUUGGAAUUUUCAAAAUAUCGACAAAAACCGCAAAGAAGUCAAGGAAACCCUUCGGUUUCCGGCCACCGAUCCUCGGCGUGGCUCCCUCAAACGCUUCAGCGCCGUUUCAAAGUCCAAAGAAAGGUGGUUUCUUUCGUUUUUAAUUUUAUAUUAUUCGUUUAUAAAAAAUAAAACAAUAAAUAGAAAAAUAGAAAAAUAAAUAAAUAUUGUAAAUGUCAACCUUUUUGAUCGAUUUGCCCUCUGUAUUGAACUCUCGGUGUGAAAAUAAUAACUUUUUUUAUUUGAUUUUCCCGUGGUCCCCUUUACAGUAUUCUUAAUGGCUUUUUAUAGCCAUAAUAAAACAAAUAGUAUAGAAAGUAAAUCUUGUUUACAUCAAUUUGAUUAUCAAUCUUUUGAUUUUUCUUUCCAUAUACUGUUUUGUUUCUUUUCUUGUCGUGCAGGUGAAGCGGGGAUGCGGCUCUUGCGGAUCUUGGCUGCAGCGUGAGGCUUACCCCAGAAACCCUAGGGUUUCUGAAACUGCUUUGGGCCCGGGAUUUAUUUUGGGCCUCUGUUUAUUUCAGUUUGGGCCCUUAUAGGCCUGUUUGUAAUUGGACUCUGUAUUUAUUUUUCAUGUAGGCCGGGUAAAAUUUAGGUGUUACAAACUUUAUAUAGUUUUUUUAUGUUUAUUGUUUUUUAAAAAAUAAAAAAAUGAAAAAGGUUUAUUUUUGUUAUUAUUAUAUUUUUAAUGACUAUUUAAAUUUAAUUUAAAAAAAAAGACAGACCUAACAUACAAAUAGAUCAAAAGUUUAAAAGCAUUUAAUUGGAUGCCGCCAACAAUCAUGAGCCACCCUUUUUUCAUCUCAUUUAAAAAAUUAAUUAUUUCAUCUAGUUUCUAAACGUUUUAUAUAAUCACAUUUCAAUCCGGUGUCACCAAUAACAAUGGCAGAACCUCACAAAAAAAUAUUAUUUUUUAAAAUCAACCAAUAUUGGCCCAUUAUGAAGGAUGGUGCGUCAAUGGCAAUGACGACACCAAAAUUUACUGUUCAAAACAGGUAUUUUUAUAUAUAAUUUUGUACAUGAUUUUUUAUAAAUAAUUAAUUUAUUUGAGUUAUCUUUAAGAAAAAGCCAUGAAAGGUUGAAUGGUGACUUUGAGAGAUGGGGCAUCUCCUGCACAACACCCAUUUGUGAAGGCAGAACAAAUGGAUCGACUCAUGCAAAAACAAGUCAAAUUUUGGGCUACAAUAGCUGCUUCCAUAGACAUCUGGCCUUAAUUUCCUUACCCCCAAAAAAUAUUGAUUAAAAUAUAAAUAGUAUAGAUUAAAAUAUUUAAAGCAUAAACUUUAUUUUAUUAAAAUAAUUAAAUUUCAAGAAAAAAACCGACAAAUUUCAUUAAAAUAUAAAAGCAUAAUGUCAAAUUUAUCUCUUACCCCUUUUUUUUAAAGCUAAAUUUAAUUCUAAACAUUUUUAAAAAUAGUUAACUUUAAUCAUAAAUCUUUUGAAAAAGAAAUUGAAUUGAUGUUUUUUCUAAUAGAAAUAUUGAUUAAAAUGUUAAAAAUUUAAGUACCGCAGCCUUAUGAAAUUUCAUAUGUAAUUCAUGUUUUUUUUAAUUUUUUAUGAAAAUUUUGUAUUUUUUUAAAUUUUGAAUUUGGAAAUUUUUUUAAAAUUUUAAAAUAUUUGUUAACUUUAAGAUAUAAAAUAAAUAAUGUUAUGUUAGCAUAAAGUACACCUGAAAUAUUGUUAAAAAUUAAUAUUUUAAUAUUUUAAUAUCAAGCAACAAUGUUAGGGAUUCAACUGGGUUACCUUAAUGUGGACAUAUUAGGAGACUCAAAAACAGUUAUAUCUAAAUGUCAAAGUGAAAAUCGUGACAGAUCAGAAAUAGGAGCAAUCAUCAGUGAUAUUCAAAGUCUAAAAGGUUUCUUUCAAAAAAUCAGAUUCUCCUUCAUACCAAGGACUGGAAAUAUGGAAGCACACAGAAUAGCAAGAGAAACACUCAAGAAAGGAGAAGAAUUUUACCUGGAAGGAGAGACUUUACGUGCGUUAUGGGAGGAGCAUGAAUCAAUUCGUCUGGAUCAUUCGGAGCAAAGGGAGAGGAGAUAAGAUUUGUUUUGAAGUGGGUGUCGGUUGAAAUGAAAGAUGAAGAGCAGUAUAGUAAAAGCAAUCAGAAAAGCAGGAGAUCUGAGGAGAUUUGCUUUUACUGUUCAGUGGUCUUGGGCAGAGGAAAUGGAAGAACAAUUAUUGCAGACAACUGGAUCACGUUCGGCUGGGGGUUUUUGAUUUUUUUCGUUUGUGGGCUAAAAUGAUAACAGCCCGUUUCUUUGUAGUUUUAUUUAGGAUUUAUUGUUUUAGGUUCAGCCCAACUUGGACGAUUUUCAUUUUUUUCUUUUUUAAUCCAGUCGAAUUUUCAAAAAAAAAAAUUCUUUUAAAAGAUUAAUAAUGAAAUUUAGUUUAAAAAUAAGAGUUAAAUUGAUAAAAUGUAAAUAUUUAGCGUUAAAUUUAUGAUUAUGGUAAAUAUAAAAGGCAC